UGCCUCCGUAGCUCAGGGGAUAGAGCACUGGUUUCCGGUACCAGUGGCCGCAGGUUCGAAUCCUGCCGGGGGCACCCA
RNAcentral lists this transfer RNA (78 nucleotides) under Nocardioides sp. OK12. RNAcentral describes it as "tRNA-Arg". It matches the Rfam family "tRNA". Rfam says of the family: Transfer RNA (tRNA) molecules are approximately 80 nucleotides in length. Their secondary structure includes four short double-helical elements and three loops (D, anti-codon, and T loops). Lineage: Bacteria; Bacillati; Actinomycetota; Actinomycetes; Propionibacteriales; Nocardioidaceae. The record is from RNAcentral.